GACUCGCGCAACCUGUCAUAGUCUUCUUCUUCUGCAUAUAUCUCAUUCAGAGCUUCAUUUACAGCAGAUACAUUAUUGCUCUGAACUGCAACCAUAUAUGGCUUA
This 105-nucleotide small RNA is filed under the name Arabidopsis thaliana (thale cress). RNAcentral describes it as "ATSL135970". Lineage: Eukaryota; Viridiplantae; Streptophyta; Magnoliopsida; Brassicales; Brassicaceae. The record is from RNAcentral.